RNAcentral lists this ribosomal RNA (339 nucleotides) under uncultured Pseudomonadota bacterium. RNAcentral describes it as "bacterial SSU rRNA". It matches the Rfam family "Bacterial small subunit ribosomal RNA", at positions 29 to 351 of the family's 1533-position model. Lineage: Bacteria; Pseudomonadati; Pseudomonadota. The record is from RNAcentral.
AACAAACGCUGGCGGCGUGCCUAACACAUGCAAGUCGUACGAGAAAGUCCGCUUCGGUGGGCAAGUAAAGUGGCGCACGGGUGAGUAACGCGUGGAUAAUCUACCCUUAAGUUGGGAAUAACUCAUCGAAAGGUGGGCUAAUACCGAAUGAUACUGCACAACUACUGUUAUGCAGUCAAAGAAGGCCUCUGUUUACAAGCUUUUGCUGAAGGAUGAGUCCGCGUACCAUUAGCUAGUUGGUAGGGUAAUGGCCUACCAAGGCUACGAUGGUUAGCUGGUCUGAGAGGAUGAUCAGCCACACUGGAACUGAGACACGGUCCAGACUCCUACGGGUGGCAG